This 498-nucleotide ribosomal RNA is filed under the name bacterium Urfcr38. Its description in RNAcentral is "bacterial SSU rRNA". It matches the Rfam family "Bacterial small subunit ribosomal RNA", at positions 108 to 618 of the family's 1533-position model. The record is from RNAcentral.
GAGUAAUACGUGAGUAACCUGCCCUUGACUCUCGGAUAAGCCUGGGAAACUGGGUCUAAUACUGGAUACUACAUUCUCUCGCAAGGGGGUGUGUGGAAAGGGUUUUACUGGUUUUGGAUGGGCUCACGGCCUAUCACCUUGUUGGUGGGGUAAUGGCCUACCAAGGCGACGACGGGUAGCCGGCCUGAGAGGGUGACCGGCCACACUGGGACUGAUACACGGCCCAGACUCCUACGGGAGGCAGCAGUGGGGAAUAUUGCACAAUGGGCGAAAGCCUGAUGCAACGACGCCGCGUGAGGGAUGACGGCCUUCGGGUUGUAAACCUCUUUCAGCACGGAAGAAGCGAAAGUGACGGUACGUGCAGAAGAAGCGCCGGCUAACUACGUGCCAGCAGCCGCGGUAAUACGUAUGGCGCACGCGUUGUCCGGAAUUAUUGGGCGUAAAGAGCUCGUAGGCGGUUUGUCGCGUCUGCUGUGAAAGCCCGGGGCUUAACCCCGU